UGUGUAAGUUUUCUCAUGAAUUCUAAUUGUAUUUCAACAAGAAAAAAAAAGAUAGGGCAAUAGUUGUGAACUAGUUGAUUAAUUGAUGGAGGAUAUAUACACUCAAUUCUUUACGAUUUAAUUGUAUUAUGAUGGCUUGUGGUCCUAUACCUCUAACUUCUCAUCUUCUUAUGUAUACAUAUAAGUAGUUUUUAUCUUUCUGUCUUUAGUAAGGUUAUUCCAGUGUUACUGCUUGUUUAUUUGCGGCAUUGAUUUUUUAUAUAGGAAAAAUUGAGCUAACUUGAGCGAAAGUUCCAUGGAUGAUUCUCAAAUUUUGCCAAAUGAUUUUUUUGGUAAGGUUUUCGGAAAAGAUCACUCUCUAAGGGUAAGAUGUUUGGGAUUAGGAGUUGUCCCCAGUAAAAAUUUUAAACAAGUAAGACCGAGUUUUGGUGAUGCGUGAUGCAAAUGCUUCAAGUAGUGAAGGAUCAUGUUCGUCCCAAUGCCAAGAGAACCACAAUCAAAUGAUGAACGCUCAUAAUCAAAUGAUGAAUGCUUUUAAGGCGUACAUAUAAUGAAAGAAGGGAUGAUACCAGAACAAUUUGCAGGGUUCUUUGAUUCUCCUUCGAUAAAUUCUUCUACAAUAAUUCCAAGUGAUGCUGCUAGUGAACCAAUUCCGGCUACGCACACAAGAAGAUCAUGCCAUAGUGAUAGUAUUCCUAGCCAUCAAACCAUUGAUUACAUUGUAGUCAACCAAUUCCACCUAUAUUAUUAGCUAAUUAAUUUGAUGACAAGAUUGUGUGAUUGGAAAGAUGUUAAAAUGUUGGAUUAGAUAUUUUGUGUUCAGGUUUUUUUUUGUUUUGAUGAAGAUAUUUGAUGUUAACAAUAUCAUUUUAGUGACAAAUGACAAUGCAAUAUUUUUUGUGAAUUUAUGAUAUGUCGUUCAAGAAUAUAUAUUUCUUGACCUUGAGAAAUUUUUUGGAUUUGAUUGUGAUUUAUAGCUUAAUUACUGAUUCGAUAAAUUAUAUAUAAAUAAAAGUAUAUCAAAUGAAUUUUAGAGCUUAUACGAUUGCCCAGAUCAUUCAACAGAAGCAAUUGCAAAAUUUGUGGAGGUUUUGAACCCCCUCUAUUUCUAACUGAAAAAUAAUAUUUUAAAAAAUAAUUUUAAAUAAGCGUGAGUCGACGUCCACAAAGCAACCCCCGCUAAUUGAUUGUGGGGGUCAAAGAAAAACUGCAGCAAAUUGCUUGCGACAACUCUUAUUAAGAUUUUUUUUACAACUGCCGCAAUACUGUAUUGAGGGGGUUUUAAACACCCACAAACCUUAAAAUUAACCCCUCUAUUUAAGGUUUUUUUGUAGUGUCCUAGAGGUCAAGUACGCCGGUUGCAAUCCGAGAUUGCCCCUAACUUCUAAGGUGUUGUUUUGGGAUGUGACAUGGUGUCCGAUUCACACCUGCUGGCCUAACAAUGUUCAACAACAAAAUAAUCGACUAUAAGCACUGUAAAAUUUGAUAAAAGACUGCAUUAGAUACAAAAACGAGCAUCCGUGUGCUUAUAAAACUGAAGGAAAUCGAAAGGUAAAAACAAGAUUGUUCUAAAAUUUACAAGAAAAAGAAGUAAAAUAUCAAUCCAAUCAGGCACCCUGUGUUUGGAAAGUGCCUAUCUAGGAAUCUAACUCCUCUAGGGAAUAGGAACCAGUCCGGUAACGACCUACCUCAGCUCCUGAAACUGAACGUAAUCAUUAGGCUCCGCUAUGGCAAACUCCUUCUCAAGAGC
Molecule: non-coding RNA, 1750 nt
Organism: Solanum lycopersicum (tomato)
Lineage: Eukaryota; Viridiplantae; Streptophyta; Magnoliopsida; Solanales; Solanaceae
Source: RefSeq, a predicted model, not a curated record